Molecule: long non-coding RNA, 844 nt
Organism: Alligator sinensis (Chinese alligator)
Lineage: Eukaryota; Metazoa; Chordata; Crocodylia; Alligatoridae
Exons: 3
Source: RefSeq, a predicted model, not a curated record
UGAGGGACUCAUACAGUUAUUACUCAAGUGAGGCCCAGGUCAUAAUGUAUUUUUACCACAAUACCCUUAUAUAGUACACACUCUGGAGGUACAUGAUGGGCUUCAUCUCUCCGCAAAAGGGUCUCUUUUUUUACAGGUUGGCUGACCUCCUACUUUGGGCUUAAACUAAAUACGACGGGGGACGGAGAGGCAGGAGAUGGAGAGAGUCUAGAACCUACAAACUGCGAAACCUACAGCAGUACACCCCAGGCAACCAGGGAGCCUGUGACUAGGGAGCCAGCAAACAGGGACUGCCAACAGGAGCAGUUUGCAGGCAGCUGCUGGAGGCAAGAGGAGGGAGAAAGGAGAAGAGAAGCCAGGCCAGGCACUAGAUCCUGUCCAGGAAAGGCAUUGUUCCAGAAAAUGAGAAAACAAGCAAUGGUGGCAGCAGCAGACAUUUCUCAUGCAUGUUUAUCCAAGGGGUCACCAUGGAGCUGGAGGGAAAAAUUCAGCCAUGUAUUUAUGGAGGGCUUGCAGCAAUUUCAGCAUCCAGCUGUUCCAGCUUCUGCAUCACAUUUGAGACCUAACACCUGGUACCAGCUGAGCUUGAUCCUGGAAAGUUUUUUAUAACGCUCAUCAUCACCACAGCAUUUCAGCCUCAGGUCCAUCAUGAACAGCCUGUGAGGGUUAUGUCUUAAGCACUUCCCAGGUAAAUUAGUCAUAGGCAAUCGUCAAUCCCCUGGAUCAUGAUGUAUAUGUAAGAGGUCUAGUCAGCUGCCUGAUGAAUCUGCUUGUAUGGAGUGCUGCAACCAUCACACUGUUGUCCCCAAAGGACAGUGAGUUUGCGCUUGUGCCAAUAAACACA